RNAcentral lists this ribosomal RNA (259 nucleotides) under uncultured bacterium. RNAcentral's name for it is "partial 16S ribosomal RNA". It matches the Rfam family "Bacterial small subunit ribosomal RNA", at positions 524 to 777 of the family's 1533-position model. The record is from RNAcentral.
UACGUAGGGGGCAAGCGUUGUCCGGAUUUAUUGGGCGUAAAGAGCUCGUAGGCGGUUUGUCGCGUCUGCUGUGAAAACUGGAGGCUCAACCUCCAGCCUGCAGUGGGUACGGGCAGACUAGAGUGCGGUAGGGGAGAUUGGAAUUCCUGGUGGUAGCGGUGGAAUGCGCAGGAUAAUCAGGAGGAACACCGAUGGCGAAGGGCAGAUCUCUGGGCCGUAACUGACGCUGAGGAGCGAAAGCAUGGGGGAGCGAACAGGG